Molecule: transfer RNA, 85 nt
Filed under: Ameiurus melas (black bullhead)
Lineage: Eukaryota; Metazoa; Chordata; Actinopteri; Siluriformes; Ictaluridae
Description: tRNA-Leu
Source: RNAcentral
GUCAGGAUGGCCGAGCGGUUCAUAGCCGCGCCGCGUUCAGGUCGCAGUCUCCCCUGGAGGCGGGGUUCAAAUCCCAUUUCUGACA